Molecule: regulatory RNA element, 98 nt
Organism: Sporomusa malonica
Lineage: Bacteria; Bacillati; Bacillota; Negativicutes; Selenomonadales; Sporomusaceae
Rfam family: SAM riboswitch aptamer (S box leader)
About the family: The SAM riboswitch is found upstream of a number of genes which code for proteins involved in methionine or cysteine biosynthesis in Gram-positive bacteria. The SAM riboswitch acts at the level of transcription termination control. The predicted structure consists of a complex stem-loop region followed by a single stem loop terminator region.
Source: Rfam
AACUUAUCAAGAGUGGUAGAGGGACUGGCCCUAUGAUACCCAGCAACCAGCGUUUACGCAAGGUGCUAAAUCCAGCGGAGCAAUCCGGAAGAUGAGUU